RNAcentral lists this ribosomal RNA (777 nucleotides) under uncultured fungus. RNAcentral describes it as "eukaryotic LSU rRNA". The stretch from base 515 to 777 matches the Rfam family "Eukaryotic large subunit ribosomal RNA", at positions 1 to 253 of the family's 3401-position model. Lineage: Eukaryota; Fungi. The record is from RNAcentral.
GAUCAUCUAUCGCMAWAUAAAGGGUUGUCUGCUGGCCUCUCGGGGCGCGUGCACGCCCAAAUCCACAACACACCUGUGAACCCACCGCUAGGCCCUCGGGCUUAUGUAUUAUCAUAUACUCUGAUCAUAGAAUGUAAAUAAUUUUGCCUUAAAAACGCRAUGAAAUACAACUUUCAACAACGGAUCUCUUGGCUCUCGCAUCGAUGAAGAACGCARCGAAAUGCGAUAAGAAAUGUGAAUUGCAGAUUUUCAGUGAAUCAUCGAAUCUUUGAACGCACCUUGCGCUCCUCGGUAUUCCGAGGAGCAUGCCUGUUUGAGUGUCAUUAAAUUCUCAACCCCAGCGGUUCGUUGGGGCUUGGACUUGGAGCGUGCUGGCGAAGGUCGGCUCCUCUUUAAAUGCAUCACCGGAAAACRGAACUUUCCCUUCGGCGUGAUAAUAUCGUUGCGUCGUGGUGGGUCGGUUAAAGAGUCCCGCUCACAAUCGUCCUCGGACAAAAAUAAAAAACAUCUGUUUUGACCUCAGAUCAGGUAGGACUACCCGCUGAACUUAAGCAUAUCAAUAAGCGGAGGAAAAGAAACUAACAAGGAUUCCCCUASUAACUGCGAGUGAAGCGGGAAGAGCUCAAAUUUAAAAUCUGGCGGUCGUCUGGCCGUCCGAGUUGUAAUCUGGAGAAKCGUUUUCCGCGUCGGACCGUGUACAAAGUCUUCUGGAACGGAGCGUCAUAGAGGGUGAGAAUCCCGUCUCUGACACGGAACUGSCUUAUGCUUCAUGUGAUA